Molecule: ribosomal RNA, 253 nt
Filed under: uncultured bacterium
Lineage: Bacteria
Description: partial 16S ribosomal RNA
Rfam family: Bacterial small subunit ribosomal RNA
Source: RNAcentral
AACGUAGGAGACUAGCGUUAUCCGGAUUUACUGGGCGUAAAGCGUGUGCAGGCGGUUCGGCAAGUUGGAUGUGAAAUCUCCCGGCUCAACUGGGAGGGGUCGUUCAAUACUACCGAACUUGAGGGCAUCAGAGGAAGGUGGAAUUCCGGGUGUAGUGGUGAAAUGCGUAGAUAUCCGGAGGAACACCAGUGGCGAAGGCAGCCUUCUGGGCCAACACUGACGCUCAUGCACGAAAGCGUGGGGAGCAAACAGG